GUGCUUACUUCAGGAGCACAUAUACUAAAAUUAGAAUGAUGCAGAGAUGGUUAACAUGGCCUAGUGCAAGGAUGAUAUGUAAUUUGUGAAGUGUGAAGUGUGCCAUAUUUCU
Small nuclear RNA from Heterocephalus glaber (naked mole-rat), 112 nucleotides. The record is from Ensembl. Lineage: Eukaryota; Metazoa; Chordata; Mammalia; Rodentia; Bathyergidae.